GUGCUCGCUUUGGCGGCACUUAUACUAAAAUUGGGAUGAUACAGAGAAGGUUAGCAUGGCCCCUGCGCAAGGAUGACAGACAAAAUUCGUGAAGUGUUCCAUAUUUUU
This is a small nuclear RNA of Loxodonta africana (African savanna elephant), 108 nucleotides long. NCBI's taxonomy places the organism in Eukaryota, Metazoa, Chordata, Mammalia, Proboscidea, Elephantidae. The record is from Ensembl.